GCUGCAGAGUGUGGUCCGGGCUCCAAUGGCCUUUUUUGAUUCAACACCUACUGGAAGAAUCUUAAACCGGGUGAGUAGCAUAUAGUUCAAUGCAAUUUGUUAAUGACUCUGCAGUAACAGAACUAUAAUAGCAAAUAAGUUAUACUGGAUCACAAAAUUACAUGAUUCUUCGAUUACUUAUUGGUGCAAUAUUAGGCAAUGUGAAACUUUUUUGAAUGAUAUUCAAGAAAAGAGUCGAUUGACAAUGGAGACAGGGGAUUCUCCUUUCACUUAUGAAAGGUACCCUGACCUGAAUCCAAUUCAUGAAUAUGACUAAAUUCAUCAAACCUCUGGAAGGUUGUAGUUGUAUCCAAAGAAUCCCAAUAGAGCAUGAAAACAUUUUUUCCCCCAAAGAAUCUGCUCUCUAAUGCCAAAGAACUGCCUUAACAUAAAAAAUGAGCAUUCUUUUGAGGAGGGAGACCAAUAAAUUUCCCAAAGAUAAAGAAAUUCCAAAUCAAACCCCAAGUUUCAGACUGCAUCUUUCCAACCAAAACUCUUAACUCCUGGCUUCACAGUCGGAUUUUAAAAACAAUAUCACCCCAUGAGGCUGUGGAACAGGGGAGGAGCUGAAAAUAAUGAGUGAAGCAACUAGAUAGCUUUGUCUAAUUCAUAGAGGUAUAAGAUAAAACCUGUAAUUUCUGUGAGCCUGAUUGCUUUUUGGCAGUUAUAUGAAAUAUGUACUUAAAAAUAUAGUACCAUGAUCUUCCAGAGAUUUAACAUUCAACUAUCAUAUAAGCAGGCAUCUAUUGAUCAAAGUGUGCUAGACAUGGAAAUGGCGAACAGGUUAGGCUGGUGUGCUUUUUCAGUAAUACAGAUUCUAGGAACAAUCGCAGUGAUGUCUCAGGUAGCAUGGGAAGUAUUUGUUAUCUUCAUUCCAGUAACUGCAAUCUGCAUCUGGUACCAAGUAAGAUCCCUUUGUCCUGAUCUGUAUUUAAUUUAUCUGUGUUUAAUUGGGAUGUGCAAAUCACAUGGAAUCAGAAAGAGUCUAAUUCGAUUCUACAGAAUUUUACUGCUUAAGUUUGUAAUAUAAAAGAAUGUGUCAAUACCAGAUUCAUCAAAACACUAAUAAACAUGUUGAAUCAAGAUAGUGGCUAGAAAACCUGAAAAUGCCUCUUCUUUUUCAAUCAAUACCCCAUUCUGUUGCUGUUGAUGAAAAAGAAGCAAAAUAAGUUUCUUAGUUCUUAAAAUUUUUGUUGUUGGGCUCCUGGAAGAACAUAGUUGGGUUCGAACUUCCUUUUUCAAUUCUUGCACUCCACUUUCUCAGCAAUCAAAUGGAGUGUAGUAAUACCCUUUGUAGAACUGGCCUUAUGCUAUUGGCAUUGAACUAUUGGUUAAUGGUGAUCAUUUCAGCAAUACUACAUACCAACUGCAAGAGAAUUGGGCCGUUUGGCAAGCAUACAGCAAUCUCCAAUCCUACAUCACUUUUCUGAAUCACUUUCUGGAGCUGCGACGAUCCGUGCUUUCGACCAAGAAGACCGCUUCAUUCAUGCAAAUCUUGAUCUUGUUGACAACUUCUCAAGGCCAUGGUUUCAUAAUGUGUCAGCAAUGGAAUGGCUUUCUUUCAGACUCAACGUAUUAUCCAAUUUUGUCUUCGCCUUUUCAUUGGUUUUGCUUGUGAGCCUUCCUGAAGGGAUCAUCAAUCCAAGUAAGCAUCAUAACUAGUUCAUGAUGUUUUAUCUAUCACAGAUCAUUUGCUUCCCACACAUCACAUAUCUUACAUUGUCAGAUUAAUCAAAAGAGUGCUUAUCUUGGAGUGGAUAUUUUACAGGCAUCGCAGGGUUAGCAGUAACAUAUGGAAUAAAUUUGAAUGUUCUACAAGCUUCAGUUAUAUGGAACAUUUGCAAUGCAGAGAAUAAAAUGAUCUCAGUUGAAAGAAUUCUUCAGUAUUCAAAAAUUAAAAGUGAAGCACCUCUUGUGAUUGAAGAGUGCAGACCAGAAAAUAACUGGCCCCAAGUUGGAACAAUUUGCUUCCAGAAUUUGCAGGUAUAAUUCUACCAUGAGGUUUCAACAUCAAAAGAAUUAGGAUUAAGACUUGGAGAUGCAUUUUGAUAUUAAUCAAACCAUAAACAUUUGAAAAUUUCUGUCCAUACUGCACUAACAUGCAUAUUUCCCCAUGUUGCAGAUCCGUUAUGCUGAACACCUCCCAUCUGUUCUCAAAAACAUUAGCUGCACAUUUCCUGGAGGGAUGAAGAUUGGAGUUGUAGGAAGGACUGGA
Molecule: long non-coding RNA, 2254 nt
Filed under: Vitis vinifera (wine grape)
Lineage: Eukaryota; Viridiplantae; Streptophyta; Magnoliopsida; Vitales; Vitaceae
Description: long non-coding RNA (VVIN_LNC005072)
Source: RNAcentral